This 2100-nucleotide long non-coding RNA is filed under the name Ixodes scapularis (black-legged tick). Its description in RNAcentral is "uncharacterized LOC121836089". Lineage: Eukaryota; Metazoa; Arthropoda; Arachnida; Ixodida; Ixodidae. The record is from RNAcentral.
GUUGACCUUCUUCUCUACCUCGCGACGCAUUCGCGAUGGGUGCCGCGAUGAGCGCCUUUCUGAUAAAGUAUCCUUUCAUGGUUUCCCCAAGAAUGAAAAGCUCCGCAAGAACUGGGGUAUUUCCGUUAAGAGAGGUGAAGAUGCUCAUUUCCGAGUGACGAAGUACACCAAGGUAUGCUCCAAACAUUUUUGAGAGUGUGACUUUGUACCUGGUGUAGCGAGCGGCCAUAAUCUCCUCCGAGACUCAGCAGAGCCGUCAGUAUCUAGCUUCAGCAAGCAGCACAAUGUUCGUAAGCUGCCGAAGUAGCACACACAACCACCACUCAGAAAAGCUGUCGAACCACCGGAUCAGGAACUACAAACGCCAGAACCAGCUGACAGUUGCAACGACACUGUAGAGGAGGAUGCAGUUUCCUUUAUUACCACUGACAUGGAAGCUCCAAGGGAAAGCUCAUUGGAACCUGCUGGACUGGACUUCUCAGGUGCAGCUUUGGGACGUCUUGUGACCACUUUCAAAGAUCAAGAGAAAGAAAUCACUAAACUUUGCGACGACUGCAGUAGUCUCAGAGAACAGCUGGGAUCAGCGAUGGCUACAGUGCGUGAGCUUCAAGCAGCAAGUGAGUCUGGCGUUUCAAGUUGCCGAAGAAAAAGAAAGGACAUGUAGUUUUUUCAUCAACAAAGACAUCAUGCUCCACACUGGGUUGCCAAAAUAUGAAGGCUCAGUGACCUUGCUUUUCUUUUUAAACCCAGGAGACAAUGGAUGCAACGUUUUGCACACUGGAGGUGGUAGUGCAGCCGGAUCUGAUAAGGGCCGCAAGAGAGAACUAAUCUGCAAGAAUGGGCUGUUCUUGGUUGUGGUGGUGAGGUUGUGCCUUGGCUUGUUUGAGGUUGACCUAGAUCACAGUCUGCAUUGCACAGUCGACGGUCUCAAGAAUGUGCAUGUCAUGGAUAGAAAGAAGAGACACAGGGGAUGACACAGACGGGACAAUCUUUCAACUUCAACUACACUUAAUUUCGACUUCAAGCACGGUACCCAACCGCUUUGUGGGAAGGGGAAACGCUUGGGGGAAAAGGGGGGAAGGCAAGAGGAUUGCGAGGAAACUUCCAAGAGGAAGGCGGUGUGGACGGGAUGAAGGGGGUCUCUGUAGCCGCCUUUGCUGGUGACUUCGUCAUAUCGACGUGUUCGUCGGAGCACAGUAUCCAUCGUCGGCCUCGGAAAAGCCAACUUUUUUUGUGAUGGAGAGAUUGACGGAAUGUAUCUCUUCUGCGGGCUUGUCGCCAUCCAAAAGGUCUCAAGUAUUUCUCGCCCGACGUGCUCGUGGUGGUCAGCCAGGGUUGCGGCGGCGAAAUUAGGUGCGCUGCCAGGGCAUUUUCUCCCAUGAAUGGCAAUCGGGUGGUUGGAAUCUUCGCCCCACAGCAUUGGGAGAUCGCAUACACAGUUUGUGCCUUGCAGAUGGUGAACUUGCAUGUUUUUUGGUGCAGCUAGGUGAAGGGGAGGAGGGGUGUCCCUCUGAUCACGGUCUUGCAUAUGUCGCCGAGCCUAGAUUUGCACGUAAAAACGACUUUUUGUGUCGAAUUUGAAGGCAAGCGCUUUCAGUGGCGGUAUGUCACAUGAAUGUACGAAAUGCGAGCCGGUCUUCUUGUGGUGGGCAACGUCUCGGUGGCCGGCUUAUGCCAGGGUUGUCUUGCCAAUUUUCUUAAGGUGGCAAGGAUUGGAUUGUUAGAAUAGCCCGCCCUAUGAAGCUGUGCGCACCAUCGGUUUAUGCUGGCCUCACGUUGGCGAGCGCAAGAUUUGGUGCCUGCAGAGGGGAGCAGGCACCCAACGAUGCCGGUUUUUACUUUUUUUCGAGCGUGCGCCUGGAAUUGGCACAAAAUUGGCUUAGUUUACAUUUUUUGAAUUUAGCUCAUUUUGAAAAGAAAAACAUUACCCCAAGUAUAGUCCACAGUUUGGUUGUUGCAUGCAUUUUUUUUCUUCGUUCUGCAAUAUAUUUUAUGUCGUCCUCUGCUCGUUUCACAUUGCUUUGCACCACCCAUAUGUAAUGCCCUUUGCAGCCUAAAAGUAUCAAAAAAGCUUGUAAUAAAGAGACAAGUGUUGCUGUA